This 492-nucleotide ribosomal RNA is filed under the name uncultured bacterium. Its description in RNAcentral is "partial 16S ribosomal RNA". It matches the Rfam family "Bacterial small subunit ribosomal RNA", at positions 29 to 507 of the family's 1533-position model. The record is from RNAcentral.
AGUGAACGCUGGCGGUAGGCCUAACACAUGCAAGUCGAACGGCAGCACAGUAAGAGCUUGCUCUUACGGGUGGCGAGUGGCGGACGGGUGAGGAAUACAUCGGAACCUACUUUUUCGUGGGGGAUAACGUAGGGAAACUUACGCUAAUACCGCAUACGACCUACGGGUGAAAGCAGGGGAUCUUCGGACCUUGCGCGAUUGAAUGAGCCGAUGUCGGAUUAGCUAGUUGGCGGGGUAAAGGCCCACCAAGGCGACGAUCCGUAGCUGGUCUGAGAGGAUGAUCAGCCACACUGGAACUGAGACACGGUCCAGACUCCUACGGGAGGCAGCAGUGGGGAAUAUUGGACAAUGGGCGCAAGCCUGAUCCAGCCAUACCGCGUGGGUGAAGAAGGCCUUCGGGUUGUAAAGCCCUUUUGUUGGGGAAGAAAAGCAGCAGGUUAAUACCCCGCUGUUCUGACGGUACCCAAAGAAUAAGCACCGGCUAACUUCGUG